RNAcentral lists this ribosomal RNA (253 nucleotides) under uncultured bacterium. RNAcentral's name for it is "partial 16S ribosomal RNA". It matches the Rfam family "Bacterial small subunit ribosomal RNA", at positions 524 to 776 of the family's 1533-position model. The record is from RNAcentral.
UACGGAGGGUGCAAGCGUUGUUCGGAAUUAUUGGGCGUAAAGCGCGUGUAGGCGGAUAGAUAAGUCAGGCGUGAAAUCCCUUGACUCAAUCAAGGAACUGCACUUGAAACUAUUUAUCUCGAGUACGAUAGGGGAGGGUGGAAUUCCCAGUGUAGAGGUGAAAUUCAUAGAUAUUGGGAGGAACACCAGUGGCGAAGGCGACCCUCUGGAUCGAUACUGACGCUGAGACGCGAAAGCGUGGGUAGCAAACAGG